Nycticebus coucang (slow loris) is the source of this 141-nucleotide small nuclear RNA. RefSeq annotates it as U4 spliceosomal RNA. The transcript has a single exon. The record is from RefSeq and is a predicted model, not a curated record. NCBI's taxonomy places the organism in Eukaryota, Metazoa, Chordata, Mammalia, Primates, Lorisidae.
AGCUGCGUGCCGUGGCAGUAUUGUAGCCAAUUAGGUUUAUCUGAGGUGCGAUUAUUGCUAACUGAAAAUUUUUCCCAAUACCCUGCCAUGACGACUUGCAAUAAAGUCGGCACCGGCAAUUUCCAACCAUCUCUACCAUGA